RNAcentral lists this ribosomal RNA (497 nucleotides) under uncultured bacterium. RNAcentral's name for it is "partial 16S ribosomal RNA". It matches the Rfam family "Bacterial small subunit ribosomal RNA", at positions 28 to 507 of the family's 1533-position model. The record is from RNAcentral.
GACGAACGCUGGCGGCGUGCCUAAUACAUGCAAGUUGAGCGCUGAAGGUUGGUACUUGUACCGACUGGAUGAGCAGCGAACGGGUGAGUAACGCGUGGGGAAUCUGCCUUAGAGCGGGGGACAACAUUUGGAAACGAAUGCUAAUACCGCAUAAAAACUUUAAACACAAGUUUUAAGUUUGAAAGAUGCAAUUGCAUCACUCAAAGAUGAUCCCGCGUUGUAUUAGCUAGUUGGUGAGGUAAAGGCUCACCAAGGCGAUGAUACAUAGCCGACCUGAGAGGGUGAUCGGCCACAUUGGGACUGAGACACGGCCCAAACUCCUACGGGAGGCAGCAGUAGGGAAUCUUCGGCAAUGGACGAAAGUCUGACCGAGCAACGCCGCGUGAGUGAAGAAGGUUUUCGGAUCGUAAAACUCUGUUGGUAGAGAAGAACGUUGGUGAGAGUGGAAAGCUCAUCAAGUGACGGUAACUACCCAGAAAGGGACGGCUAACUACGUG